RNAcentral lists this small nucleolar RNA (111 nucleotides) under Sphaerobolus stellatus SS14. The record is from RNAcentral. Lineage: Eukaryota; Fungi; Basidiomycota; Agaricomycetes; Geastrales; Sphaerobolaceae.
UCAAGAUGAACACCUUAGAUGACGAGUCUGACGUACGGUGGAUUUGAGUUUCUCAUCUACAUCGUCUUCGUGACGAGACCUUUUUUUAAUACCAUUCAUGCCUAUCUGAUU